UAUUGACUUUCAUUUCUGCCUGGGUAAGGUUCCCCAGUAGUUGAAAUCACCUUGGGAACUGCAUCCUGUUAGAUCAUAUUGUGAGGCCUGCACAAAAAUUCUAGAGAGAUUGUUAGUACAAAAAUAAAAAUAAAAAUAGAAAUUAGGGAUUGAAAAAAUAAAAAUGGAAAAAUAAAAAUAAGAAAAUAAAAAUAAAAUAAAGUCGAAAUUAAUCAAGGAUCACACAAAUAGAAUAGCUUAAACCGUGAGUCCCCGGC
This 257-nucleotide long non-coding RNA is filed under the name Vigna radiata. Its description in RNAcentral is "long non-coding RNA (VRAD_LNC006835)". Lineage: Eukaryota; Viridiplantae; Streptophyta; Magnoliopsida; Fabales; Fabaceae. The record is from RNAcentral.